CCUACGGGUGGCAGCAGUGAGGAAUAUUGGUCAAUGGACGAGAGUCUGAACCAGCCAAGUAGCGUGAAGGAUGACUGCCCUAUGGGUUGUAAACUUCUUUUAUAUGGGAAUAAAAUGUUCCACGUGUGGGAGAUUGUGUGUACCAUAUGAAUAAGGAUCGGCUAACUCCGUGCCAGCAGCCGCGGUAAUACGGAGGAUCCGAGCGUUGUCCGGAUUUACUGGGUUUAACGGGAGCGUAGGUGGAUCGUUAAGUCAGUUGUGAAAGUUUGCGGCUCAACCGUAAAAUUGCAGUUGAAACUGGAAGUCUUGAGUACAGUAGAGGUGGGCGGAAUUCGUGGUGUAGCGGUGAAAUGCUUAGAUAUCACGAAGAACUCCGAUUGCGAAGGCAGUUCACUGGACUGCAACUGACACUGAGGCUCGAAAGUGUGGGUAUCAAACAGGAUUAGAUACCCGGGUAGUC
Molecule: ribosomal RNA, 460 nt
Filed under: uncultured bacterium
Lineage: Bacteria
Description: partial 16S ribosomal RNA
Rfam family: Bacterial small subunit ribosomal RNA
Source: RNAcentral